RNAcentral lists this transfer RNA (63 nucleotides) under Trioza urticae. RNAcentral's name for it is "tRNA-Asp". Lineage: Eukaryota; Metazoa; Arthropoda; Insecta; Hemiptera; Triozidae. The record is from RNAcentral.
AAAGAAAUUAGUUAAACUAAUAACACUGAGUUGUCAAAUCAGAAUUAUAUUAAUAUAUUUCUU